Molecule: transfer RNA, 39 nt
Filed under: Cyanolyca mirabilis (white-throated jay)
Lineage: Eukaryota; Metazoa; Chordata; Aves; Passeriformes; Corvidae
Description: partial tRNA-Glu
Source: RNAcentral
GGCCUGAAAAACCAUCGUUAUAUAUUUAACUACAAGAAC